UUGCCAGACUCCUACGGGAGGCAGCAGUGGGGGAUAUUGCACAAUGGGGGAAACCCUGAUGCAGCGACGCCGCGUGUGGGAAGACGGUCCUCUGGAUUGUAAACCCCUGUCCCCAGGGACGAAAAUGACGGUACCUGGGGAGGAAGCUCCGGCUAACUACGUGCCAGCAGCCGCGGUAAUACGUAGGGGGCAAGCGUUAUCCGGAUUUACUGGGUGUAAAGGGAGCGCAGACGGCAGUGCAAGUCUGGAGUGAAAGCCCGGGGCCCAACCCCGGAACUGCUCUGGAAACUGUGCGGCUAGAGUACUGGAGGGGCAGGCGGAAUUCCUAGUGUAGCGGUGAAAUGCGUAGAUAUUAGGAGGAACACCAGUGGCGAAGGCGGCCUGCUGGACAGUAACUGACGUUGAGGCUCGAAAGCGUGGGGAGCAAACAGGAUUAGAUACCCUGGUA
Molecule: ribosomal RNA, 448 nt
Filed under: uncultured bacterium
Lineage: Bacteria
Description: bacterial SSU rRNA
Rfam family: Bacterial small subunit ribosomal RNA
Source: RNAcentral